CAGGAAAUUUCCUUUUUGCCUGUGGUGCAGAGGAGCCUUGAACUGUCUCAGCAUGGAUCCGAGUGCAGAUGGAGCUGGUCUUGCAGCUGUGCUCCAGAAACUUCCAGUGGCUCUGUUCUCCUGGGCAUGUCCUCCACAAGGUGCCACCAUGGAAGGAUACAGUUUAUGAAAUCCACUGUUUAGGAAACACAACAAUGUGGAGUUACUCCACAUGUGAGCCACAGCAGCAGCUACAUCAAUCAAGACCCUUAUUCCUGGGUUAUUUGUACUCCUCAGUGUUUAAAAGGAACUGGCCUCCGUGAUUCUCAACACCCCGAGCACAAACAAAGCUGUAAUAACUCAAAACUUAAUGAAAGCAAACUCUGUAUAAUACACACAGACCCUGAAACUCUCAGGGUCUUUCAAGAGAAAAUCUUAGUUCAGCCAAAACACGCAGACAAAAGAAGAGGUUUAAAUCCCUUCCAGACGCGGAGGCAUGAGACACAAGGAUAUGUUCUGUUUAUUUAACAAGCCAGAGCUGGAGCAAGAGCCCUCACAAUACAAUUGCAGUGGUAACAAUAAAAAUGCAGCAAACCAAGAGCUGCAGCCCCAGAAAGACGAAGCCAGCGGCAGGAUUAUGGAACCUGCACACCCAGACGUUUUAAUACCUGUGCCAGACAUAGAGCUGUGUGAUAAUACGAACACAAUAAAACAUGAGGAAUCUAAAUCCAAGGAGCAGAUGGAAAGGCACAGCUUCUCUGGUGGAGCUACUUUUCAUUGGAGGCUCAGCUCCCAGCUUUGUGUGGAGCAGCCGCCCAUUCCAAGUCACCCUCAGUUCAUCCUCCACAGCAGCUUGGACGUGCUGCUCCUUCCUGUUCCAUAUGUGAGGAAACCCAGGAUUAGAUUGUUCUGCUGUGGAAAAGACAGAGUAUUCCUUGGAUGAUGUCAGGAUUGACCCUGCGAUGGCAACAUCCACAGGCAGCAUGGCAAACGCAUCAGGAAGGGCUGACAGAAACAUGCGUGCAGGAUGAGUACAUGGAGCCAUUGCCCAAAAAUAUCUCUGAGACCAGCCAAGGGCCUGGCACAACAGAAGCUCUGCUGCUGUGAUACAGGAUUUUACCCUUUUUUUACCUUGUCUCAGAGCCAAAUUCAGGACUGGAAAUGCAAAGCAACAAACAAGGCGGGACCAGGGGAAGUUUAGACCUAAUGGGCAGCUGAGAGAAAUUAGAAUAAUGGUCCUGGUUGCUCCUGAAAGAUACACAGCAGGUUUUUUUUCCCCAGAAAUGUGGGUCAUAGAGAAUCAUGGAUCAGCCUGUGCAGAGAACUGUCAUUUCAGAACUCCACUGUGUUUGGUAGCCAGGCUCUGCCUGAAGAACACGGGUCUGAUGGAGCACUGGUGCUUCAGAUGUUGCAGUUUGCUUCGUAGAAGAAUGCAAGGAGGGCGUUUUUUACUGAGUCAGAUAGAUUAACUCCAGAACAGCAACUGGCUUUUAGAGCACUCUCAUAAGUGUUUGAAAUACAUAGUUUUAUGCAGCAUACAAAAAAAAUCCCCCCCACCACCAAAAAAAACCCCAAAACAAAACAAAAAAAAACAACCCCAAACCCAAAACCCAGAAAUGCAAUGGGUUUGUGAUAAAAAUAUUGCUUCUGGACAUGGUUUCCUUGACAAUAGUUCAAAUUUAAGGGCAUUUUUAACACUGUUGAUGCAGAGACUUGCUUUAAAUGGCCCAUUCUGGAGCUGGUCACCUUAGAGCAAGAAGCAGCAAGAAAGACUAAUCAUUUUUUUUAGUUCAGAGAGCAAGAAGAAACCAGCAGCAAUGUGAGCUGGUCUUCUCAAUGCCAUCCCUGCUGAAGUCUGAGGAUCUGAAGGCUGAAGUCAGGAGGAUCUUGAUUUGCCUCCAGCCCAUGAGGAGUCCAAGGAAGGACUGGAUGUGGCACUCAGUGCUUUAGCCUGGGGUGGCAAGGUGGGGAUUGGUCACAGUCUGACUUUUAAAAGCUUGAUUCCACAUUCAUCAUUAAUUAAUAAUACACAUCUGCACCAUGUGAAAUUGUACGGGGAGAAGAUUCAGCCUCCCACCCCUCCGCAAUUGUUUAUUUUUAUUUUUUACUCUCUCUUCAAUUAUUGUGUUCACUUACCACUGGAGAUGGCUCCUGCAGAACCAACAGGGCACAUAGUCAAGUGAAGCUCACACACAAGUUUGUGUUUGGGGUUUGCUUUAAUCACAAGGGAGAAUUUCCUCUUUUCUGCUGGUCAGCACCAGACCCAAGGAAGGUCUAAACUCCAUGAACCCUAGAGAUCAAAAGAGCACUUUCAAGAGGAAGAACAGCGGAUAACUGUAAAGGAAGUUACAGCUGUUUGCUAUUUAAUGAAGUUAAAUGCACAUGUAAAUGUUUAUAGACUCCAGCCUGAACUCAAUUUUUUUUUUGGAAGCAAGACUUUUGCAACAUAAUUAUAUGCCCCACAAUGUUUUCCUGGUGGAUUGUGAGUUAUGUAUAAUUCCUUAUGAAAAUCUAUAAAUGGGUCAUGGAUCUGAAGCAGCUGAGACACCCCAUCAUUACCUGCCUCAUUCACAUGAGCACUGCUGUUAUUUAUUCCUGUUAAUUAUUAUUACUGUUAUUAUAAAAUAACAUUUAUGCGAACCUUUCACACUUAACAUGAUUGAUUUGGGGUUUUAUCUUAUAUUUUUCUUCCAAUCACAGUCAGAUACUGUUUGAAAACAACAACAGCAAAGAAUCCAGUCACAUUUCUGGGUAGAGUCCAAGCACUCCUUAAGGAUUGAAUGAAUGACUUCCUUAAACCAGGAAAACUUUCAGUGUCUCAUGCAGAAAAUAUUAUGUGAGCAAAAGCUCAGGUCAACUGCUACCUGCUGAGUCUGAAAUUGUUAUCAGUUGAUUGUUUUAUUCUUUCACAUGGGUGUGAAAGCAACACACACAAUUUUUUAAAAGAGGUUGAAAUGGUCUUUGUAGCCAGGUAAGUGUGAAAAUCUAAAGUGAUUCACAAACCACACAGAAACCUGUUUUAAUUUGGUUACAUUCAGGGAAAAUAUUUUAGCAACAUGGGAUUUUUUCCUUCCUGCAGUCUCUGAACUCUGUGCUCAGCCUAGUGAACCAACUCCAUGUGCACUGAACCUAAGUUGUUUUGCAAAGAGACCUCCAAGAAACCCCCACCAGCUCUCCUGCACUGCUGCUCGAUGGCUUUCCUGCAGGCAUGCAGCUAGGAAGAAAAUUUCCAUAAUAGCUGUGAGAUUAGAGACAUUGUAUGCUUGAGGAGCCAGAGUGCCUAGCAGGCAGCACCAAGAUGAAUGAGCUCAGGCUACCUCUGGAGUAAUGUGGUGAUGAAAUCCCUCAUCUGGUCUGUGCCUCUCAGCCACCCAGAGAUAAAUUGCUCCUCACCCAGCUACCCCAGAAGAACUGGCAUUCAGGAUGUGCUCAUGACUCACAGAACCACAGGCUGGAAAAGACCUUCAAGAUCAUCAGGUCCAAGCCUAGACUGGACACCACCAUGUCACUAAACAUGUCACAAAGUGCCACUCUGAACACUUCCAGGGAUGGUGACUCAAGCAUUGCCCUGGGCAGCCUGUUUUCAGUGAUUAAUCACUCCUUCAGUCAGUAAAUAUUUCCUAAUAUCAAAUCCACUUCAUUUCAUAUUACAAAAUAUAUUACAAAAUUAUUAAAUACAUAAUAAAACUUCCUUUGUAUUAAAACCAGCACAGAAAUCACAGACUGCUGUCAACCAAUGACUAAUUUUUAUUAUCCUCAGUGCUGCUGUUGUAAACUUCAGCUCAAUGGGUGAGGUUUUUGCAGGGCUAGAUUUCCCCUAACCAGGAAUCCUUGAGGCAGGGGGGAAUAUCCACCCAAAGUGAGCACAGAGCAGGGGUGAGCUCCCAGCUCAGUUUAUCCACAGCUGAUCACUGGAUCUCAACUGAUGCCUUUUUCUCUGGCCCUAAAGAUACAAGUCAGACACAGUUAGGGUGAUAAAAAGGGUACUUUUAUAUGAGGUGCACAAAUUUGUCAGGUAGAAAAGGGCCAGGAUGCACACCCCAUGUGACUGACAUGUAAAUUUUUAUAGAUUCUGCAAAUUAACUUAUCUGACAAGAACCCCCCAAUUAGAAACUCUCCUGGUGAAGAAAUUCCCCCAGUUCUAGCACCUUCUAUAAUCUCCCCCCUCUGGAUGAGAUCCAGGCCCUGUUUACAAUUGUCUACAUUGGAAAGCUGGUUUCAGCCUGGUUUCUAAGGUGAACCAUAGCAGGACAGGGAUGUUGGAAUUUGUUUUGUUUUUCUGCCUGGGAAAGUGUUGAAGCUAGGCUACAGAAUGAAGCUGCAAAGCUACAAGUGUAUAUGUAAAGAAUAAAGAGAAUAUAUAAAAGAAAAAGAGAGUAAAACCCAAAAGAGCAUCACAACCAUUCAUGUGGAAAAGCCUGGAGGCACAAAAAACAAGGAGAAGGAGACAUCCCUGACUUGGAAUCAUCCCGAGCCCGUUUGGGGUGUGCUGACAGGCAGUAGCUGGGAGGGAAGCUGUGGUUAUUGGUAUGUUAACAGGUCUCUGUAAAUCCAUCAUAUUCUGGGGGUCCUUAUGUGACGUGUGGGAAUUGAUAUAGGUGGGAAACAGGAAGUACACACCAACAAUAAAACGGCAUUUUAAUCAGAAACAUACUUGGUGAGAGCAAGGGGUGAUUUCAGCCUGAAGAACUGCAUACAACCCCAAGCUAGGCUUUUUGAAAUGAGCCACAGCAAGCUUUAAAGAUCAGACCAAGAAAACAUCCCACCAUGUGAAGAUAAAAUCCCUCUUACAGGGUUAACCACAGUAAAUCUAAACCAAAUCCUUAUUGUUCCAAAUGAUGCUUGCAACCUGAUUGAAUAAAACACAACUGUGUUGCUAAUAAUUUAAUUUAAUUCACUUACUACUGCAUUAUUAAAACUUCUUUUGUACAAGGCACUUGAAAAGCUCCAUAGUCAAGAAUGGCUUUUGGGAAUAAAUCAUUAGCUGUUAAAUGUAGUGACAAGUAUUUUUUGAGCUGAUUUCAUAGCUGUCAUUAGCACAAAAAUUCUGCUUAGAUUUGAGUUGUUAUUAACAGAAUCACAUUUUAAAAUGCCACAUUUAAAUGAGCAUUUUGUGAAUCCCAGUUAGUGCCAGAUUGCAGCCUCAGGGAGUUGCUUGUCAUGGAAGUCCUUCAAUGUUUUUAAUUUCCACACUCCUUUAAUAUUUUCCACAUUUUAAUAGACACAGGUACUAUUAAGUUUGGGGCAAUGUAGCAACUGACUUAUAUACUUUGCUGAUAAAAGUUCAUUAUUUUACCCAAUAUCACAUGACCAUAAAAAAACAGAAAAGGCAAAAGCAAAGAGUCAGGAAGGAAGAGACAUAGAGAAGGAACAGAAGUGAUGAUUUAUGGUAUAAUGAGGAAUGAGGCUGGCAAAGAAACUAUAUUGGAAUAUUAAUCUAUACAGGUCUUCUCCUGACUAUAACUUUUGUAAAGAGCUGCUAUGGAAACAGAAGGCUGAGGUUCCCAUGAUCUAGAUGAAUUGAUCACUAAAUGAAACAAAAUAUUGUUAGGUUUCAUGAUCCUGUAAUCACAACAACAGCCAUGCUAAUGAGUCACACUGAAGGCCCCAGAAUCUGCAGAAUUUAGUAAAAAAAAUGGAUGUCACUGAAGAGUGGGGUUUUCAGGAUCCAUUUAUCCAUCAGUCAUCACGUGGAGCCAGUUGAUAACACUGUGGAUGUUUAUCUGUCAUAUCCAGUAUCCAGACACACAGAGAGGUUAAGCUACUCUUCAGGGAACACCAUAAAAGUAUAUUGUCCUGACCAAAAAAAAAAAGGAAAUUAAAAACACGCACACAAUGCCACAUUUCUUGUCCUGAGUCAGCUGCACACAGAAUUCUGUAAGACCACAGGUUUAUGUAACUGUGCUUGAAGUCAUGGUUCUGAAACACUGCAGAAUUUAAAGUGGAAGUUUGAAAAGUACAAACUGGCUCCCUGAAUCUUCCCACUGCCUGCUGGAAUUCCUGAGGGAAACCCAUACUCUUCCAGACUGCUCCAGCUGUUUGAAUAGACAAAAGAGAAAAGCAGAAGCACAGCUGGCAUGGCACAUCCUCCUUUUAAAUGACAAGUGAUAUCUUCACAUGAUUUGGGAUCAUGAACUGAUUGUGCACCCACAAAGCAUCUGGGUCAAAAGCUGUUAGCUGCUGUUCCAGUGCCCAUAGGAACAGUUACAGGCCCCAAAAUAACCAAAUUCCUGAUUUUCUGAAGCCUUAUGAGUUGUCUUUUCCCCUCAUGUCAAGACAAUCACACUCUCCCAGGUUGUUUUUUCACAUUCACAGUGACAAAAGACUGAGGAGUCAGUGUCUUCUUUCAAUUUAAAAAAUGGUCAUUUUAAUCAAAAUGGUGUCUUCUCAACAUCCCGUGCUGAUUUUAAUGCUCAUCUCUUCCCACUUGCCUCUCAUUAUAACCACAGACUGCUUCAGUUUGGAAAGGACCCCUAAGGAUCACUGAAUCCAUCUCCCUGCUCCUCUCAGGACUACCCAAAACUAAACCACAAGGCUCAGAGUGUCAUCCAGAUGCUCCUUGGAUUCCCCCAUCCUUGGUGCCAUGACUUUCCUGGGAAGCCUGGAAAUAGGGAGCUCUCUGGAGCUCCCCAUGGGCAUGGAAUAUCACUGAAGAUAGAACUGAGAGGACCACUGCAAAAAUAGCAGAUAGAUUUUCCAACCAGUUAUGCAGGCAGAACAGAUAUUAAAAAAUAGCUCUGUGGAGUUCUUUAAAACAACUUAAAAUCCUUCUGAUACCUCAGUGUCCACACUUUUUGGAUGCCAGACUCUGUGAUUAUCUGUUAUGAACUGGAAGGCAGAAGUGAUGAGAACUUGUAAGGAGAAAGAAUUAUCCUUCUUGGUAGGAUUAAUUUUUAAGCCUUUAUGUUUCUACAUUUGGCAUUUGCUCAUGUUGCCUUGUGGCUUUUAGGUACUCCAAGUAAGUAGGUCUGGAGAUUUACGUUAUUCAGGAGAGGGAGCCAAGAAAAUGUUGGUGCUGUAAGGAGAGGUAACAGAAGUGUAUUUUUUUUUCUUUGAAUUUGCUUUGAACAAUAAAAUCGACUUGUAGGAAGGGAUAUGCAUUAUUGAAAGUUUAAUCUUUCACAUGGUAGAUAAAUCUGAGGCAUUAACCACAUAUGGUUAUCAAAUAACUCGUGUGACUUUGUACAGGAGCCUCAGUAUUAAACUGCCCUGGGUCUAUUGUGCCUGAGGAGGAGGGGAAAAAAUAAAAAUCCUAAAUGUUUGACCUUUCAGCUUCUUGUGUGAAAGAGCAUUUGAAGGAUUCCUGACAAGGGCCACAGCCUGUGGCUAUGGCAGCACAGGGAGAUGCCCCUGGAUCUGAGCACAGUGUCCAACCACAUCCUUUAUCCACCAAAGGUGGAGUGUGCCUGGAUUAUCACAUUCUUUACUGGGAUUUCAAGUGAAAACCUCUCCUUUGUGGUGCUUAAGGAAUCUGGCACAUCUGGCAGGGCGGGAUGGCCUCUGGUGUGGGAAGGGCUGUGGGGUGGACGCCAUGUUCACAUCUCAACCCUAUAGCAACAUUUUGAGUGUCAGGCAACGCGCUGGGGAUCCUUUCACAAGCACAGCUGGAGGACAACGAAGAAUUAAAAAUAAAACAGCUUUGAAAACGCGAGGCAAAUCUGAGCAGAGUGGCCUGGAACCUUAGGCCCAUGAGAAAGUGUUCACUGAGGGCUCCUGGGUCCCUCUCCAGCGAUG
Molecule: long non-coding RNA, 7713 nt
Organism: Passer domesticus (house sparrow)
Lineage: Eukaryota; Metazoa; Chordata; Aves; Passeriformes; Passeridae
Exons: 5
Source: RefSeq, a predicted model, not a curated record